CUGCACUAAUGCUGGAUGCGAAGAAGUAUUCUCUUAAUGACAUCAAAGUGCAAGAAAUUCAAGGACACAAUGUUGAAAGGUUUUGAAGCAAGUGAUCACGGCACAACAGAUAAUAUGGAGCUUCAAAAGCGCAUAUUAGAAUUCGGAUUCUAUUGAAUCAAAUAAAUCUUUAGUCUGCUAGUCGGGUGAUUUAUAGAGCCUGAAACAUUAGAUUAAGCAUCAACUUUGUACAAAAAAAAUUGCUUAAUUUUAAAAAUGAUCUGCACAGUGAAUUGAAAGAAAUGUUUACAAUCCCUGCAUAUUCCAGGAAAGUGGCUUCUAAGUGACGAGUCUGAAUUACGUUGAUUUCUCAUAGUCUAAGGUAGUUGGAAAACCAUGACCAUUACUUCUUGCUGUUUUCAAGAGAUGAACAGAAAAAACCAAUGAGAACUUCAAUUUUUAGAGUAAUAAUAGCAAGAACUUUGGAGAUAUAAAUUUAAAUUCUUUACUUAUACCUGAAAGUAUUCUGAUGGAAUUCUUCGUGUUUACUCAUGUUGGGACGUCUUAUGAAUCGAAAGAGGCAGAAUUUCCUGCAAUUGAUAUUGGAGCAGCGCAUUCUUCAAAGAAUGCAUUAGACGCCAUUUAAUUGAACAACGGCUUAAUACCACUCGUCUGUGCAGUGAAUAUCAUUUAGUCUCCAGCCGCAAAUUCUAAAUACGAGAGAUGUUUGGAUUGGAGGAAAGUGAUACCGGUAUACACAAGUUAAAUUAAGACCAUUAUGGAUGCAUUUUUUCCUGCAAGUGUGAAGUCGCCAUCAAUAAUACGGCUUUCUCGGUUCCAUAUACAAGACAUCAAUAUUCACCAAUUUCCUUAAGAUAAUUUGAAGAAUCAAUUUUCAUGUUUGACUUGAAUCUCUUCAGAUGUCUACAUGUCUUAACCCAAGUGAUCACGGCACAAGAUACCAUUUGGAGCCUUCAAACGUGCAAUUCGGAGCCUUUUCAAUGAAACUAGGGAGAUCCAACUGAUGCAGCUGAGUUUGUAAAAUUCAUUUUUGCUUCGUUUAAAUUUAUAUUAGUGCCAAAAAAAUGAAUGCAUAAAUGGUCUGCACAGUGGAAAUGUGAUUAUGAAUGUAGUCAACAUUACUUGAGGAUAUCAAUACAUCUUUGAAAUGUUUUAUUCUAAUCUAAGAGCAAGAUACUGAAUAUUCAUUUUUUUCGAACUUUGUAAAGCUUGAAGUGUGCAA
Argiope bruennichi is the source of this 1222-nucleotide long non-coding RNA. RefSeq lists it as uncharacterized. The record is from RefSeq and is a predicted model, not a curated record. The transcript has 4 exons. Lineage: Eukaryota; Metazoa; Arthropoda; Arachnida; Araneae; Araneidae.